RNAcentral lists this small RNA (34 nucleotides) under Arabidopsis thaliana (thale cress). Its description in RNAcentral is "ATSL282750". The record is from RNAcentral. Lineage: Eukaryota; Viridiplantae; Streptophyta; Magnoliopsida; Brassicales; Brassicaceae.
UUCCAGAUAAAGAAGCAGGACAAUUUCCGAUGGC